AACACUGUCACGCUCGCAUAACUAGAUUGGUAAUUAUGGUAAGUAUUUUGUGGUGUUUCUAUGUGGUAUGUAUGUAGGGUUUGUAUUUAGUGGUGCGCUACCUAUAAGUCGGACCUCUCUGUCAGGUAAGUAUUUUCGAUAAGGCGCGAGAGAUACCAGAUGACGGGCGAUCGGUAAGGCACGCUCUGGACGGAGGAUCGUUCGAGGUAUUGGAGACAUUGUUAUAUUUGUCUCAUAUGAGUGAAAGCACAGAAAGCUGACUGUGCUUUCUACCGUGGAUUAUCAAGGGAACUGGGUGAGAUGGACCAGCCAACACAGUAACAGUUUUGAUCAUGACAGGGUCAUCUACAUGUGAUAGUCAGUGGCGGUAUAACCCAGCCUUGUUUCCCGGUGAUGCAGUUGACUCAUAUAAGUCAGUGGUCAACAGUUCGACCUACAUGUAUACCUGUGUGGUUUCCAUGUGGCAGUGAUGAUGAUUCCGAUAUCAGCUGAUUGUUGCGUUAACACUGAAGUGUUAUGAGAUACUGAAGUAUCUACAUCUACACUCAUAGCUGGCUACUCAGGUGACGUGAUAAGGACAGAGGACCAGAGGAGUUGAUUGGAAAGGAAGAGGACAGAACUAUUAAAAAGACUGUAUAUAUCCUUAUGUGUAGUGUGAGUGUGAGUGUGUGUGCAUUUUGUAGAUAUAAUAGCCUUAUAAAUACUGUAAAUAAAUAUGUAUAUACUGUAUA
Long non-coding RNA from Pecten maximus, 731 nucleotides. RefSeq lists it as uncharacterized. NCBI's taxonomy places the organism in Eukaryota, Metazoa, Mollusca, Bivalvia, Pectinida, Pectinidae. The record is from RefSeq and is a predicted model, not a curated record. The transcript has 2 exons.